This 870-nucleotide ribosomal RNA is filed under the name uncultured Prevotella sp. RNAcentral describes it as "bacterial SSU rRNA". It matches the Rfam family "Bacterial small subunit ribosomal RNA", at positions 27 to 890 of the family's 1533-position model. The record is from RNAcentral. Lineage: Bacteria; Pseudomonadati; Bacteroidota; Bacteroidia; Bacteroidales; Prevotellaceae.
GGAUGAACGCUAGCUACAGGCUUAACACAUGCAAGUCGCGGGGCAGCAUGGGGGUUGCUUGCAAUCCCUGAUGGCGACCGGCGCACGGGUGAGUAACGCGUAUCCAACCUGCCCUUCACCACGGGAUAACCCGGCGAAAGUCGGACUAAUACCGUAUGUUGUCCAUUGACGGCAUCCGAUUUGGACGAAAGGCUUAGCGGUGAGGGAUGGGGAUGCGUCCGAUUAGCUCGACGGCGGGGUAACGGCCCACCGUGGCAACGAUCGGUAGGGGUUCUGAGAGGAAGGUCCCCCACACUGGAACUGAGACACGGUCCAGACUCCUACGGGAGGCAGCAGUGAGGAAUAUUGGUCAAUGGGCGGAAGCCUGAACCAGCCAAGUAGCGUGCAGGAUGACGGCCCUAUGGGUUGUAAACUGCUUUUAUGCGGGGAUAAAGGGGCCCACGUGUGGGCUUUUGCAGGUACCGCAUGAAUAAGGACCGGCUAAUUCCGUGCCAGCAGCCGCGGUAAUACGGAAGGUCCGGGCGUUAUCCGGAUUUAUUGGGUUUAAAGGGAGCGUAGGCCGCCCCUUAAGCGUGUUGUGAAAUGCGGGUGCUCAACAUCCGACUUGCAGCGCGAACUGGGGGGCUUGAGUGCGCCGAAAGUAGGCGGAAUUCGUGGUGUAGCGGUGAAAUGCUUAGAUAUCACGAAGAACUCCGAUUGCGAAGGCAGCUUACUGUAGCGCAACUGACGCUGAUGCUCGAAAGCGUGGGUAUCGAACAGGAUUAGAUACCCUGGUAGUCCACGCGGUAAACGAUGGAUGCUCGUUGUCGGCCUUUGAGGCCGGUGACCAAGCGAAAGCGUUAAGCAUCCCACCUGGGGAGUACGCCGGCA